GACGAACGCUGGCGGCGCGCCUAACACAUGCAAGUCGAACGGAGUCACGAGGAGCUUGCUUUUCUGGACUUAGUGGCGAACGGGUGAGUAACGCGUGAUUAACCUGCCCUGGAGUGGGGGACAACAGUUGGAAACGACUGCUAAUACCGCAUAAGCCCACGGAUCCGCAUGGCUCUGCGGGGAAAGGAUUUAUUCGCUUCAGGAUGGACUCGCGUCCAAUUAGCUAGUUGGUGAGGUAACGGCCCACCAAGGCGACGAUUGGUAGCCGGACUGAGAGGUUGAACGGCCACAGUGGGACUGAGACACGGCCCAGACUCCUACGGGAGGCAGCAGUGGGGGAUAUUGCACAAUGGGGGUAACCCUGAUGCAGCGACGCCGCGUGGAGGACGAAGGUUUUCGGAUUGUAAACUCCUGUCGUUAGGGACGAUAAUGACGGUACCUAACAAGAAAGCACCGGCUAACUACGUG
RNAcentral lists this ribosomal RNA (468 nucleotides) under uncultured bacterium. RNAcentral describes it as "partial 16S ribosomal RNA". It matches the Rfam family "Bacterial small subunit ribosomal RNA", at positions 28 to 507 of the family's 1533-position model. The record is from RNAcentral.